CCUAUGAUAAGAUGGCUGCUAAUACUCCCACAUGCAUAACUGGUAACGGUUUUGUAUGAAGCUGGGUGAAGACGCAUUGAGUAGUCCUAACAGAUAACGCUGAGGAAAGGUUAAACAUUACUGCGAAAGUAAUGCGGGCAG
Molecule: non-coding RNA, 141 nt
Filed under: Bacillus sp. ok061
Lineage: Bacteria; Bacillati; Bacillota; Bacilli; Caryophanales; Bacillaceae
Source: RNAcentral